CCCGCUCAGAAACUCAAAGGAAUUGACGGGGGCCCGCACAAGCGGUGGAGCAUGUGGUUUAAUUCGACGAUACGCGAAGAACUUACCCGGGUUUGACAUUGUAUCGAAGCAUCCAGAGAUGGAUGUGUCUCUUCGGAGACGGUAUGACAGGUGGUGCAUGGUUGUCGUCAGCUCGUGUCGUGAGAUGUUGGGUUAAGUCCCGCAACGAGCGCAACCCUUGUGUUUAGUUGCAAACAGGUCAAGCUGUGCACUCUAGACAGACUGCCGUGGACAACACGGAGGAAGGUGGGGAUGACGUCAAAUCAUCAUGCCCCUUAUGAUCUGGGCUACACACGUGCUACAAUGGCCGGUACAACGGGCAGCGAAGGAGCGAUCCGGAGCGAAUCCUAAAAAGCCGGUCCCAGUUCGGAUUGCAGGCUGAAACUCGCCUACAUGAAGUUGGAGUUGCUAGUAAUCGCGAAUCAGAAUGUCGCGGUGAAUGCGUUCCCGGGUCUU
This 495-nucleotide ribosomal RNA is filed under the name uncultured Fusibacter sp. RNAcentral describes it as "bacterial SSU rRNA". It matches the Rfam family "Bacterial small subunit ribosomal RNA", at positions 888 to 1382 of the family's 1533-position model. Lineage: Bacteria; Bacillati; Bacillota; Clostridia; Eubacteriales; Fusibacteraceae. The record is from RNAcentral.